GUUUCAGUGGCUUAGUGAUUAGAGCGUCCGCCUCUGAUGCAGGAGGUCGUGGAUUUGAUCUCCGUCCGAGUCA
Molecule: non-coding RNA, 73 nt
Organism: Potamilus streckersoni
Lineage: Eukaryota; Metazoa; Mollusca; Bivalvia; Unionida; Unionidae
Source: the annotation of a GenBank genome assembly